Molecule: ribosomal RNA, 586 nt
Filed under: uncultured bacterium
Lineage: Bacteria
Description: bacterial SSU rRNA
Rfam family: Bacterial small subunit ribosomal RNA
Source: RNAcentral
CCUACGGGAGGCAGCAGUCGUUGCUAAAUUCCAUGUGUUACAUAGUACUGACUCAUGGGCGGACAUGGAUUAAUUAACUCGAGUGCCCUGUGGUACUCCACUAUACUCAAGUGAAUUGACGGAUCGGCGAAUUCUGCUGAUAUCCCUCGCGACGUAGAGUCAGCCGCUCCUAACUGCAUGUCAACGGCCCCGUUCAUCCUUUAGUGGCUCGCAUUGUUCUUAUUGCUCGUCGUUUUACAGUCUGUAGGCGGCGCGGUAAGUCAGAUGUGAAAUCCCUCGGCUCAACCGGGGAACUGCGUCUGAUACUGGUCGGCUUGAGAACGGUAGGGGUGAGCGGAACUCCAGGUGGAGCGGUGAAAUGCGUAGAUAUCUGGAGGAACACCGGUGGCGAAAGCGGCUCACUACGGGGUGAUUGACACUGAGGCACGAGAGCAUGGGGAGCAAACAGGAUUAGAUACCCUGGUAGUCCAUGCCGUAAACGAUGAUCACUGUCUGUUGGUUUUAGUUAAUCAGUGGAUAAGCGAAAGCGAUAAGUGAUCCACCUGGGGAGUACGUCCGCAAGGAUGAAACUCAAAUGAAUUGACGG